CGUAGGGAGCAAGCGUUGUCCGGAAUCAUUGGGCGUAAAGCGCGCGUAGGCGGCCCGGUAAGUCCGUUGUGAAAGUCAAAGGCUCAACCUUUGAAUGCCGAUGGAUACUGCCGGGCUCGAGUCCGGAAGAGGCGAGUGGAAUUCCUGGUGUAGCGGUGGAAUGCGCAGAUAUCAGGAGGAACACCGAUAGCGAAGGCAGCUCGCUGGGACGGUACUGACGCUAAGGCGCGAAAGCGUGGGGAGCGAACAGGAUUAGAUACCCUGGUAGUCCACGCCGUAAACGAUGGGCACUAGGUGUGGGAGGUGUCGACUCCUCCCGUGCCGCCGCUAACGCAUUAAGUGCCCCGCCUGGGGAGUACGGCCGCAAGGCUA
This 372-nucleotide ribosomal RNA is filed under the name uncultured organism. RNAcentral's name for it is "bacterial SSU rRNA". It matches the Rfam family "Bacterial small subunit ribosomal RNA", at positions 526 to 896 of the family's 1533-position model. The record is from RNAcentral.